UUGCCUCUUUUAUUCCUGCUACUGGCCGCCUUCCCGCGUUUGAGCAACACGGAACAAAUGUGAAAAUUUCAAACAAAAACACCGGUUUAUUACUCGCGCUCUCUCGCUCGUCCCCGUCUCUGAGAAACCAUGGCGGUAAACUUCGGUAAAAUUGUCGUGGGGAUAUACGUGGAGAUAAAACGGAGUGACGGGCGAAUACAUGAAGCCAUGGUAACGUCUUUAAACGAAGACAACGAAAGUGUUACUGUGGAGUGGAUAGAAAAUGGAGACACGAAAGGAAAAGAGAUUGAUCUAGAGUGUAUAUUUUCACUAAACCCAGAUGUUGCUCCAGAGGAGGAGAUUUCUCUGAGCCCUGUAACACCACCUCCUCCCACACCUACCUCUAUGAAGGUCAACAAGAUCCCCAAGAAUCGAAGGACUAUCGCACCUGGAAGGGCUGAGAUCCCAUCCAGAGACAAUAAAGUCGGAUCAACUCGGGCGCGUCCUGGCCAGCAGCAGCCGGAGUCAGCCCUCCCUCCACCUGCUCAGCAACCAGCUCAACCUACACAGUCCCAAACACAGCAGAGCCAACAACAGCUGCAAAAUGCGAGGAGGAAGUCCAACUGUGUGAAAGAGGUAGAGAAAAUGCAGGAGAAGAGAGAGAGGCGGCGACUGCAGCAGCAAGAGCUAAGGGAGAAGAGAGCGCAGGAGGUGGACACAACAGUCCCCAACUAUGAAAUUAUGCAGAUGAUCAGAGAUUUUAGGGCAAGCCUGGAUUACAGACCACUAACCACAGCGGAUUUGAUUGAAGAGCACCGAAUAUGUGUUUGUGUGAGGAAGCGCCCUCUUAACAAAAAAGAACUCACUGCAAAGGAGCUGGAUGUGCUCACCAUCCCCAGUAAAGAUGUCGUCUUGGUCCAUGAGCCUAAGCAGAAAGUGGACCUCACCCGAUACCUAGAGAAUCAAACCUUUCGCUUUGAUUAUGCCUUUGACGACAGUACAUCAAAUGAAAUGGUUUACAGGUUUACAGCAAGACCUUUAGUGGAAACGAUCUUUGACAGAGGAAUGGCUACAUGCUUUGCGUACGGCCAAACCGGAAGUGGGAAAACGCACACCAUGGGUGGAGAUUUUUCUGGAAAGAACCAGGAUUGCUCAAAAGGAAUCUAUGCAUUAGCUGCUCGUGAUGUUUUCCUUAUGCUGAAGAAACCCAACUACAAGAAGUUGGAUCUUCAAGUCUACGCAACCUUCUUUGAAAUUUACAGUGGAAAGGUGUUUGACUUGCUGAACCGUAAAACAAAGCUGCGUGUACUGGAGGAUGGGAAACAGCAGGUGCAAGUGGUUGGGCUGCAGGAGAAAGAGGUCAGAUGCACUGAAGAUGUCCUCAAGCUCAUUGAGGUCGGAAACAGCUGCAGAACUUCAGGACAGACUUCUGCCAACGCUCACUCGUCCCGAAGCCACGCUGUCUUCCAGAUUAUUCUGCGCAGGAAGGGGAAGAUGCACGGCAAGUUUUCAUUGAUUGACCUGGCAGGGAACGAGCGUGGCGCUGAUACAUCCAGUGCUGACCGCCAGACACGGCUGGAGGGAGCAGAGAUCAACAAGAGCCUACUUGCACUGAAGGAGUGUAUUAGAGCCCUGGGGCGGAACAAACCGCACACGCCGUUCAGAGCCAGCAAACUUACGCAAGUGCUCAGAGACUCGUUCAUCGGCGAGAACUCAAGGACGUGCAUGAUUGCCACCAUUUCUCCUGGAAUGGCUUCCUGUGAAAACACUCUGAACACACUACGAUAUGCCAACAGAGUGAAGGAGCUGACCGUGGACCCGAACACCAUGGCUGAAGGAGUACGACCCAACAUCAACGCCAUCACCGAGCUGGACAUCAUGGAGGAGGAGUGGGAGCUGAGUAGCUCCCCUCAGAGAGAUGACCUCAAGCUGCUCUGUGAACAGAAUGAAGAGGAAGUGUCUCCUCAGCUCUUCACCUUCCAUGAGGUGGUGUCCCAACUGGUGGAGAUGGAGGAGCAGGUACUGGAGGACCACCGAGCAGUGUUUCAGGAGUCAAUUAGAUGGCUGGAGGAUGAGAAGGUUCUGCUGGAGAUGACUGAGGAGGUGGAUUAUGAUGUAGACUCCUACUCUUCCCAGCUUGAGCACAUACUGGACCAGAAGAUCGACGUCCUGAUUGAGCUCAGAGAUAAAGUGAGGUCGUUCCGCUCAGCCCUGCAGGAAGAGGAACAAGCCAGUAAGCAGAUCAAUCCCAAGAGGCCUCGGGCUUUGUAGACUGGGACUAAGGGCACAAGCAUGAUGGCUAGACAUUUGACAUCAGUUUCAGCAAAUACCAAAUAACCACAAUGUGCAUCUGUACUAGACGACCUGCUAGUGUCCGGCAGAGUUACUCCGAAUUUGAAUGUCUCUUUCUUUGGCUCACGUGUGAAAUAUUCAAAACAUUAGACCAUUGCAUUGAUGUACUGCAUUGCUUUAAGUGGACUGCUGAUCUUCAGGUCAGGCAGAAGAAUUGGCAAUCAUGCCCAUCUACUAAUGAAACAUCACACACAAAAUUACACUGAAUUACAUUUUGAAGAUCAGCAUGUGCCUUAAGACAACUGUACAAGCACAGCCAUUCAGAUAAGCAAGUGGAAUUUGUAUUCUGGUUGAAAAAUUGGAGUGAAACUCUGCGGUAGAUUUGGGAAAUAGAUUUAUUUUCUUUGUAUUUUAUUUUUAUUUAUUUACUUUGUUUGUAAGUUUAGGUAAAUGGCUGUUAACUACACUGUCCAUUUUUUAAAGGGUCUUUAACACCACCUUCUUUGUUUGAAGCAUGUGCUUUUAGUAACCUGUUCCCCAUUCUCCAUUCCCAGCAUGGCAGACCAGGCCCAUCUGCACUUUAUAUAGCCCUGUUUCUCUAGGGGUCUAAUGCUGGACCUCGUUGUAUUAAUCGAUCGUUUCCUUUCGGAAGGGUUAAUUAUGUCUAUCAGUGUUUGUUUCAGUCACACUGUUCAACUUUCAAUUGUCUGAAUGAAUGAUCUCAAGGAGGUUGCUGCUGCUCUGGGGUAGCCUCAGGAAAGUGACAGAUCACCCAACCUCACUCGAGCCGUGCACUAGGGAGACGACUUUAGAACCAGCUAGUCAGACAGACAAAAAAACAAAACAAAAACAUAUAUAGCUACACUAUUAAUAAAGUCGCUUUUGUGUAUGUUGUAUUUUUUAGAUAAGCAGGAGUACUCUGACCUGGUGAGUUUGCUUCAUUGAAAACAAGACUGUUAUAUGUGGUAUGGGGAAAUUUUAACAAAAAUAACAAACACAAAUCUUAUUCUUUGAUGCAUCUUAUGUAAGCAAACAGGACAGGAACAUUAGCCAGUAUUUUCAGUUGUACCUAUGGUACACAUCACGCAUUGGUACCAGUACUUAUUCGUACAGGUAUUGAGAAUUUGAUGGUACUGACACAACUCUAUGAAAGCACUAGAACAAUAUUUAUGUACAACACAAGAUUUUCUUGGGAUGUUCCUAUAUAUAGCAUUAUAUCAAUCUGUCAGACGUGUGUAUGUAGGGUUUGUUUCCAGAAGUCGCUUAAUCACAGGAACCACACCACCUUAGUCCUGUUAUAGCCUGCUAAAAGAAAUGUAUUCCAACAGGUGCAAGGGUUCCUUGUGCCAAUUUUCCUCUUUUAUGGAGGUAACAGAAGAGAAGUAUAACCACCGCACCGUCUCCUUUAGAUCAAUAAAAUCAGUUACGUUUGUCAUUCGAGCAUCAGCUUUUCUUCCACUCCUCCGCCGGUUACUGAUACAGCCUGAGAAUUCCCAGCUUCUCUCUUAACGUUUCAUGUUUUCAUUUCAGUUCUUUUCAAAUUAGAGGUGAGAACGUUUAGGCGCCAACGUAAUUUCGAUUCAGGCAGCAACACUGCGAUAACGAAAGUCAUUCUCAAUGCGUCUUGAUGAAUCUCGGUUCUAUACAUCGAGGCUUCUAUGUUGAACAGGAAGAGCAGACUGUUGCAAUGGAAUUUCCUUUGUUAGUUGUAUUCCCAAAAUCAUUUCUUGUUGUGACGGACUUCAGACAUGGCAUGCCUCCUGUCCAGAUUUAUUAUUAUUAUUAUUUUUUUGUCUUUCAUAAAAUCCAAAAUUCAAGUGGAAGGCAUGGAUCAGAGUUUGUUCAUCUUCAUGUUUGUUAGCUAGUUUCUAACGUGCUUGGUUCACAGUGAAUGGCAACAAUGUUGUAGCUUUUCAUUAAACAUGUAAUAAAUCUGUGAUCUGUGCAUGGAUGCAGAACCAUUUGAAGAGAGAAUCAAGAUAUUUUCACCCCUAUUUAAAACUGAAUUCACUGUUUAUAUACGAAGUUCUCAAACUGGCUUAAAACACAAUUUUGUCGAAAAAGUUUGGUUUAUUAUUGUACAUUUUAGGAUAAUGUAACACCUUGAGAUUAACAUGGAACUGAAGGCACACUAUAAAUAAAAUGUGUGAUCAUCAAUAUCACUAAACAAUCCAGCCUGUGAUGGCGCUUCAGGAAAAGUGGAUCCCAGCUGAGUUGAAUGCAUGAAGUAGUCUGAGGCGACAAAGAAACAAGAAGCAACAUUAAUUUAAAUUAAAACUGUAAUUAUUUUAGCUACAUCAAGAAUAACUGCAGUGAAAAAUGUAUUUGCAAGGUAUAUUCACUUACACCAUGAAGUCGUCUAUGUCCAUUGAUCGUGCCCGUUUUUCACUAAACUCAGCUUCCUGUAGAACGCUCUCAAGUUUCUGGGUAAUGCUGAAGUCCUGUGGUACUUCCUAUUAAUAUAGGAUUAGAAUGGCCCACAAUCAAAUGUCUGACCCCAAAUGUGCCAAAAUAUAUUAACAGCACCACAGAGAACCUACGAGCAAUUUUAGAUAAUCUAGCAUAAAUAAUUUUCUGAUGAAUAGUGGGAGUAACUGUUUACUUACUAUACUGUGCAUGGAGCAAUGAAUUAUGUAGUUCUUCUCCAAAAGCUGCUCAACAGCAGCAGACCUGGGGGAGAACAAUACAAGAUAGAACUGAAAAUGUUUGCUUUUAGGUACAACUGAGAUGUCAAGUCGUUAAACUGAAAUAAAUACUUACUUGAAGGCUG
Molecule: RNA transcript, 5041 nt
Organism: Ictalurus furcatus (blue catfish)
Lineage: Eukaryota; Metazoa; Chordata; Actinopteri; Siluriformes; Ictaluridae
Gene name: kinesin-like protein KIF2A
Exons: 21
Source: RefSeq, a predicted model, not a curated record